This 163-nucleotide ribosomal RNA is filed under the name Pinguicula calderoniae. RNAcentral describes it as "5.8S ribosomal RNA". It matches the Rfam family "5.8S ribosomal RNA". From Rfam's summary of the family: 5.8S ribosomal RNA (5.8S rRNA) is a component of the large subunit of the eukaryotic ribosome. It is transcribed by RNA polymerase I as part of the 45S precursor that also contains 18S and 28S rRNA. The record is from RNAcentral. Lineage: Eukaryota; Viridiplantae; Streptophyta; Magnoliopsida; Lamiales; Lentibulariaceae.
GACUCUCGGCAACGGAUAUCUCGGCUCUCGCAUCGAUGAAGAACGUAGCAAAAUGCGAUACUUGGUGUGAAUUGCAGAAUCCCGUGAACCAUCGAGUCUUUGAACGCAAGUUGCGCCCGAAGCCAUCCGGCAGAGGGCACGCCUGCCUGGGCGUCACGCAUCG